UGGGGAAUAUUGCACAAUGGGCGCAAGCCUGAUGCAGCCAUGCCGCGUGUGUGAAGAAGGCCUUCGGGUUGUAAAGCACUUUCAGCGAGGAGGAAGGUGGUGAGCUUAAUACGCUCAUCAAUUGACGUUACUCGCAGAAGAAGCACCGGCUAACUCCGUGCCAGCAGCCGCGGUAAUACGGAGGGUGCAAGCGUUAAUCGGAAUUACUGGGCGUAAAGCGCACGCAGGCGGUUUGUUAAGUCAGAUGUGAAAUCCCCGGGCUCAACCUGGGAACUGCAUUUGAAACUGGCAAGCUAGAGUCUCAUAGAGGGGGGUAGAAUUCCAGGUGUAGCGGUGAAAUGCGUAGAGAUCUGGAGGAAUACCGGUGGCGAAGGCGGCCCCCUGGACGAAGACUGACGCUCAGGUGCGAAAGCGUGGGGCAGCAAACAGGAUUAGAUACCCUGGUAGUCCACGCUGUAAAACGAUGUCGAUUUUGGAGGUUGUGCCCUUGAGGCGUGGCUUCCGGAGCUAACGCGUUAAAUCGACCGCCUGGGGAGUACGGCCGCAAGGUUAAAACUCAAAGGAAUUG
RNAcentral lists this ribosomal RNA (568 nucleotides) under uncultured bacterium. RNAcentral describes it as "partial 16S ribosomal RNA". It matches the Rfam family "Bacterial small subunit ribosomal RNA", at positions 355 to 912 of the family's 1533-position model. The record is from RNAcentral.